GCUACGGGAUGGAGCUGGAGAAAUGUUGAACACUCUCAAAUUCAUAGACACAGCUAUGGAUGCAAGGACUGACCAUCGUGCCUCCUAAAACCCCCCGGCCCAAGGUUCUUCGCCUCAGACCUCCUCCAAUGGGUUUUGAGAAGGAGGCAUGCAGAGGAAAUGGCUCUGGCUUGCUGAUAACAUCUGAUCUGAGACUCCCUGUGCGAUUUGACUCCUGUAAUAUAUUCAAUAAAACUUCCCAUGCCAAAUUGAAAUAAUUUUAGAUUCUACAAUUGAUAGACAAUAGUAGUUCCCAAUCAGACAAUUAUUGUAAACAAAUCUGUUUCACUCAGUGCAAUGUUUGGUGAAUGCAUGUUGUUUUGUCCUUUGAAUGCAACCAUCAUCGAGUCCAUCCUCACUUCCUCGAUCACUGCAACGGAUUGUCCGGUCUGCUGAGAGGGUCAUUGGCUACCACCUUCCCUCCAUCGAGGUCCUGCAUAACCCCUUCAUGCCCGACCCCCUUUCACACCCUCUUCCAAAAAGUCCCAUCUGGCAAACGGUUCAUGUCAAUCACAACCAAAACCUCCAGCCACCUGAACAGUUUCUUCCCCUGUGCCUUGGCCCUCACCAACCGUCCACCUGGUUCACGAUUAACCUCUCAUCUGUGGACUUUGCACUAUUCAUCCACAGACGAUGCACCUUGGACUAUUAUCCUAGAACUGCAAAUUGCUCUUUGCACUCUCCUCACAUCUCGUACAUGUGUAGCACAUGGGGAUGUGUGAAACUUAAUCCUCAGCCUUAAGUGUCCCGUUUGUGUCGCCUUAUUACAGGGAUGACACUAGUCACCUUUUGGCGAAAUUCGCCUUUUUGAAUCCAAAAUAGGUGACCUAUGUGAUACGUGUAGAUCCGAUGGGCUUUGGAUGACUACUGGCUGUAAGUGAACGAGUGAUGCGCAUUUGGAGCAAUACUGGCUGCAGGAAGUGCAAAAAAAAGGGUCACCUUUUUGGGCCCAUUUUUUGGGGGUCCAUUCCUCCUGUUAUUAACUAGCUUUUGAGGUGGUGCGAUUGGCUAAGACGCUUGAGAGACGUGUGUGAGGCAGAGGUCCUGAGUUUCCGCCAGGUAUGGGCCGACUCUGGAGGAAGUGGUACUCGCUAAGCAAGCAGAGUGACAUCCUUUACACAUGCAUCAUUUAUAAUGUAGCUUAUUGUGCUCAUAGUGUACACACUGUAUGUGGAUUUGCAUCUAUGUAUAUUGUGUUUGUGGUAGCACCAUUUCACAUAGUCAAAUUCCUAUACGUGCUAAUUUAUUUGGUGAAUUAAAGCUGAUUGACAUGUUUUAACUUGA
Salvelinus namaycush (lake trout) is the source of this 1323-nucleotide long non-coding RNA. RefSeq lists it as uncharacterized. Lineage: Eukaryota; Metazoa; Chordata; Actinopteri; Salmoniformes; Salmonidae. The transcript has 2 exons. The record is from RefSeq and is a predicted model, not a curated record.